UUUGAUAGUUGUCCUUGUUACUGGUUCAGAAUUUUUGGGGCCCUUCAGAUAGAAGGGGUUGUUUCUGAUUCUUCUUCUAUAAGGUUAGACCUUUCCUAUACUGGAUUGAAAUUAGCUUUUUAGGUUUUAUUCAGUAGUGCCCUGACGCUUAUUUGUUUUGGGCUUCGUAGGUUCACUAAACAUAAGAGGUGGCUUAAAUCUGGUGACUUACAAGGUGUCCGGUGUGGACGUGCCCAAUAUUUCAAUCUAGUUGUACACCAUUACUGUCUAGGUGAGUUCAAUCUCUCAUAGAAUUUCUUUAUGGAACUCCAAUUUUUACCGACUAUCCUAUUCUGGUUGGGUAGUACAGUUGGUUAGUUCUUGCUAACAUUUUGGAGUUGACCACCUAGCAUAGUUUCUUUCUUUUUUCCUGUGUGUGCAGAUGUUUGCGAUCUUGUAAUUUUCUUAUUGUUAUCAUAUUAUAAUAUGGCCGGGGUGAAGUGGUAUCUUGGUCGUACCUAUGGACAAGUUGCAGUAAGUAUCUUGUCGACUAGUGAGGCCCCAAUAAAAUGUUAAUUUUGUUAUGAAUAUCAGAACAUGAUCUCCAGCAGCACAACUACAUGUCCAAUCUACAGAACAACACACUUGUUCUGAAAAUGAAUGUUAGUGAACAACCAUGUGAAUGAUGGUGAAAACAUAUGUAUACUUUCCAACACAUGGGAUCUCGUUAUGGCCCCAUGACUUGAGAAUAACAUAUCAUCAGCCUAGCUAUUAUGCUUGUGCAUGAACGAAACCUCUUUUUUUUAGGAUAAAAUAAAUAUAUCAAAAAUCAGCCAUCAGGGUUACAAUCUGAUUGUAGAAUUUCUUUCAGGUCCAAAGGAACUUCUGCCAUGAAGAAAAAAAUCACUAGAUGUUCUAACCAAGUCAGCAAGGCUAUGUGCCAGCUUACUCUGCUUUCUACUCACCCAUCCAAUCUGAAACGAACUCAAAGAGUUCAGGACAGCCUGAAUGUCAUUGACUAUGGAGAAAAGACUGGAUUGGUUAUGGAUGCCAGGUUCCAAUGCUUUGGCCAGAGCCAUACAGUCUAGCUCCACCAAAAUUGCCCCAUUAAAAAAUCUAGAUAACUCUCUCAGACUGGUCAAGAGAGCCAACCCCUUAGCUUCUUCCACACUAGCGCGCAUACUAAUGCAGCGCCCCGUGGAAAAGAAAGGUUGUCCUUGAGAGUUUCGGACAACAGUCCCCAUCGUACUUGAUCAAGAAGCACCGAGGUAGGAUGCGUCAGAAUUCAGUUUUAUAAUUCCAGUACGAGGGGGCAUCCACUUCGAGAAAACAAGGAUAGGAGGGUGCAGGCGUCUAUACUGAAAAAAAUAGCACGCUAUAUCGCCGCUAAUAGCAUGCUACAGCAUAUAUAGAAUUGAUUCGCUAAAUUGAUCAAUGUACAAUAUCUCGUUAAUAGCACGCUAAUAGCAUAUUUUUAGGGGCGACAGUAUUUUGUAUAGCGCGCUAUUUUUUUCAUUGCGUCUAUCCCUAAAAUGGUUGCUGCAGUUUUGGUGAAUCUCAUUUUUCGGGAACAACUGGAAGUUACGAAUUUCCUCUUUGAACGGUAUCAAAAAAAGACACCGAGCCUGAUUUAGAUACGUUGCCAAUACUGUGACCAAUAUUAUCCCAUAAGAACCACGCUCUCCCCAAGAUGCGAAGGAAUUUUGUUCGGGUGUCUUGUUUACAUGCAUUAAGGUAGACAGUUAAACUAUUACUAUUGAAAGACAGCUACAUUUUAUUCAUAGUAAUGUUCCCAAUAAUGAAAACAUAACAAAAAAUGGGGUCAUCGGAAGAUGUACGAUAUGGAGUCUCCUUUUGUUACUUCCUGCUUUUCUUAUACACCCUAUGAACAAAAUAAUGGACCCCUUGCAAAUUUACAUUUCAGAGUAAUGAUUAUUAGUUCAUCGUUUUCACUAUGAAAUUUGAAUCACUUGAUGUAUUCCUAGUACCUCCACGGUAUGGAAUGAGUUGCUAUUUGAUUUGAUAAGGAAUAAAUGUGGCUAGACUUAAUUUUGUUGAUUGUAGGGGCAAAAAUUACUUAAAAAUAUGAUUCUUUGAGUUGAAAUCUGAAUUAAUCGUCUUCAUAUCUAUGGGAGUGACUGUCAUAAGGUCGAGUAGAACUACAGAAUUGUUGGCUUUGAAUCGCUGGAUCAAAUCACCCGGGAGACACACAGCGUACAAAGCUAGCUAGAUAAGCUAGCAAGGAGGCAGCUUGAUGGAUUCUGCCAGCCAGGCUUGUACGUGUUGUAUAACCGGCAACUCUCGACGUAACUAGCGACAGAAAGAUACGAUGAAAGCUGGAUUGAGGAGACUACUUUUGCGGUGCGUAACUUACACCUUUUUAGAUUUUACUCUACGUAUAUAAAGGGAUACAAGGACUUGCCGCGUCCAACACGAUGCCGACUCGGUUGGCAACCAACACAACGCAGCCCGGACUCGUACAACAACCAGUCCAGUUUACAACUCUUUCUACUAUUCUACGUUUAGACUCAACUAGGUUAAUUACCACAUUCACCUCUUUAACCUUGUUGCUUUGUCUCCAGUGCUUGCACUCCGACUUUCUUCCUCAUCUCGAUGAACUUCUUCGACCGAGGGACUUGGUGAAAAUAUCGGCAAGCUGGUCCUUCGUAUUCACGUGCAGAACUUCUAUCAUCCCU
This 2675-nucleotide long non-coding RNA is filed under the name Hordeum vulgare. RNAcentral describes it as "long non-coding RNA (HVUL_LNC014197)". The record is from RNAcentral. Lineage: Eukaryota; Viridiplantae; Streptophyta; Magnoliopsida; Poales; Poaceae.